Molecule: long non-coding RNA, 416 nt
Organism: Passer domesticus (house sparrow)
Lineage: Eukaryota; Metazoa; Chordata; Aves; Passeriformes; Passeridae
Exons: 2
Source: RefSeq, a predicted model, not a curated record
CCAGUUCCCUCCCUGUGCCUCCCAGUUCCUCCCAGUAAUCCCAGUUUGCAGGAACUGGACCUCUCCGACAAUCACGUGACCGAGGUGGGCGUGGCCCCGCCCCUCCCCCGCCUGUGGCUCCUGCGGCUGGACCGGAACCCCAUUAGCCACGCCCCCGCUCUCGCCCCAUUGGCCGCCUGGCCCCGCCUCACCCGCCUGGGAUUGGCUGAGACCCCGCUGGGCUCCGCCCCCUCUGGCCCCGCCCACCUGGCCGAGCUGCUCCCCGGCGUUGACGUCACCUUCACCUGAUUGGCUGCUGCCUCCAGUGCUUGGCCACGCCCUCUCGCUGUGGCCACGCCCCCCCGGUGUCAGCGUGAGCGCUUCCGGGUUCGGCCCCGCCCCUUCCGGCCUUCAAUAAAGUGAGAUCCCAGUUCGUC